This 746-nucleotide unclassified non-coding RNA is filed under the name uncultured fungus. RNAcentral's name for it is "sequence contains 18S rRNA gene, ITS1, 5.8S rRNA gene, ITS2, 28S rRNA gene". Lineage: Eukaryota; Fungi. The record is from RNAcentral.
GGCCGAUGAUGGUGUUGGCCUUGCCGUCAAAGGCGCGUUUGGAGUUCGAGUUCAGAUCGAGGUCAUAGCUGAAGCUUCGCAGCGCCUGGCCUAGCGAGGAUGCGCUGCCGGACCCGUCAACGCCCAGGCCGGCUGAAGUUUUCUUGUCCAUCUCGCGUUUUUCCUGCGAAUCGGACCCGGUGGCUUCAUCGAUCUGUAUGGUGAUAACGUCGCCGACGUUCCGCGCCUUAAAGUCGCCGAAGAGAUUGGCCAUCCUCGGAUCGCGUCGAUCCCAGAGAGAAUCCGCGUGCGAAAUCGCCGGCAUCGCCGCCGUGAGUACAAGGGCACACCACAACUGCUUAUGCAUGUUUCUGCUCCUUGAAAAUUCCCCUCGUUCCCAAGCUCUGCUUGGGAACGCUGCUUCGCGAAGCUCCGCUUCGCGGGAGUCGGCGCGACCUAAAGUGUUCGGUCCGAUCGAUGAAGCGGUACAUCGAGGCGGUGCGUUCCCACGCGGAGCGUGGGAACGAGAGUGAUUCAAUCAUCCACGAGCACAAUGCCGCGGCCGUCCACACGACCCAGCACGAUGAUGCUUGAAUGGACGUUGCGUACGCGAAUGAGGUCGCCGGUCUUGCCGUCCUGCAAGGCUUCGCCCUUGGCCUCGAUCCGGACGGUCCCGAUCUUCGCGACGAUCCUCACAGCGUCGGCCCGCUUGACAACGACCUCCCGGUUAUCGGGGGCUGGCGUGAUGUUCCCCGCGGGCAAGAUGC